GUAAAAGCUCUGGGGUGAUGAAACAGAGCUCCAAGACCAUCCAUUUGAAAGGAAUUACUAAGGAUUGUGUGCCUAGAUGCUCCCUUGGACAUAUCUGAAAAUGUUAGCCAAGGCAACUGGUGAAGUGAAUUAUCAGCCUUGCAAAGUCUAACCUCACCAACACUUUGCUUUCUGGGUCCCUUCCAAUUCUACUGUACCAGGGAGAAGCCACUUCAGAGAAGAACUUCUGGGGCUCCACACUGGUGCAUGUUGGCCCCCUGCAUAGGCUGGUGCCUCAUCCCUUCUGAGUAAGAGGAGGACGGAAGAUCUUGGAGAAGGAAGAAAAGAAUGGGAGGAAGCAAGCAGCAUUGCUGGAGUGGCAUGCACAGGUCUGCUUGUGUGGUAGGCCGAUGCUGUGGUGGCCCUGUGAGGCAACUAAUUCACCUUCUCCAGGCCAAACAGUCCAACAAUUCAAGGAGAUGGUGAGAGAGCUAGGACCGUUCAGCCUGGAGAAGAGGACGCUCAAGGGAAACUCAUCAAUGUGUAUAAUACCUGAAGGGAGAGUGCAAAGAGAGCAGAGUCAAUCUCUCUUCAGUGGUGGCCAGUGCCAGGACAAGACGUGAUGAAACACAGGAUGUUCCAUCUAAAUGUCAGGAAACACUUAUUUACUGUGUGAGUGAUGGAGUGCUGGCACAGGCUGCCCAGAGAAAUGGAGUCUCUUCCUUGGAGAUGUUCAGAAGCUGCUUGGACAUGGCUCUGGUCACGCUGAUCUAAGUGUCCCUAUUUAAGCAGGAGUUGGACUAGGUGGACGCAGAUGUCCCUUCCAAUCCUGGCCAUUCUGUUGUUAUACUUUCCAUUUGCUCCCCUUUUCUCACUCCAAAGUGCCAGUAAGGAAGGGGAAAGUUUGUCCCAAGGUGAACUGCUCCUCCUGCUGAUUUAAAAACCCAAAGCCCAGCGAUCAGGAACGGUAUACUUUCCAUCAUUUAUGACGUUGUUGUCUUCUCAUCUUUCCCUUUUCUAAGUGUUAUGUAGGCUGUGAAAGUAAAAUUCUGAACAUUAUGGUACUGUAGGCACUCUGUGUACAUAGAGAAAUUGGAGGAUUAAGAGCGAGAAUGACUGAGUGGUAGAGCCUUGUAUAAGAAAAUGACAGAUGCCCUGGUUUAAAAGGUGACAAUUUGCCUAUGCAGUUAAAUGGUUAUGUCAAGGCAUCAGGAAAUUUGGGAACUUGAAUGCAGAGAAGGAAGCAUUUGAAAACGCAGUCUGCCUUGAGCUUCUGAAGUAGCCUCCGAGCUCCAGAACUGAUGUUUUGUAAUUUUGCCUUAUCAUCUGCCUGGGUUUAUCAUGGUGGUAAUAGGGAUAAUGACAGAGAGUCAGUCAUUUCCACUUAGAUGCCAGUUUUUAAGUAAUAAUAAGCUCACAGCGGGUUCGAUUUGGUCUGUGCUGAGAGUACCUGGGGUUAUUUUCCCUUUGCUUUCUCAUGGUAAAUUAUCUCAGCCCACCAGGGCCAAGCUGAUUUUCUAGCUGUAAAAACAGAGAAGACGAACAUGCAGCAGCACACUAUACACUUAGCUGCUUCCUCCUUUGUUGUUUUCUUUAUGUUAUUUAGGAAGAGAAAAUUCUCUGAGUCACCCGUUAUGGUUUGAAUCCAGGUCAUAAAAAGAAGAGUAAACUAAUAGUGGACUGUCUUCCCUAACCCCCUCACCCCAUGCAUCUCUCCUCUGUAUUGCAGUCCCUAAUGGGAGCAUUUAAAACCAGUGCUUAUGAUAAUGCCCUUGUUCCCAUGGACACCACAGCACUGCAGAACCAAGAUUAAUGGAGGACCAUUGAGACUGGUCCUAAAAGAUUGUCCCUCUUGUGUAUUAUGGUCUGUCAUGCUGCAUCCAUUAGCAGAGGAGCGGAGGGUCCUCAUCGUGUUGGUAUCACUGGGACCAAAUCGAGCUACAGCAAGAUGGCAUUUCCAUAGCACAUCAACAGAUCAUUUCACCACUGCUUAAGGCAUCGUAAAUUGGACUUAUAGCUCAGCUGCUGGCAUAAAUAAGUCCCUUUGAUAGUUAGUGGAAGACGUUAUGACACUCCAGGGUACAGGAGGGGACAUUGGCACUGUCAUUUUUUUUCUCCAGCCCUGGCACCCUGGUGCCUCUGAUCUUUCUGAAGAUUCAGGGCACGCGCUCUUCAUUACGGUUUGGGCACCAGGGACUUGUUUUUUUUGCAAGAUUAAUGAGCGCCACGGAAAUUCUCCAGCGCAUCUCGAUAAUUAAGUCUUUGUUUAUCAAAAAACAAGUUAUAUUAGGAGCAGAAAAUUCGCAGUAAUUAUUCAUAAUUCUAACAAUUCAAGUAUAGCUACCUCAUUUGCCUGGGUAAUUCUGCUUUUUAAUUUCUUGCAUACAUUUGCAUAUUAAUUUUGCCCGUCGGCUGCAGCAGGCUUUGACAGUUUGUUACUAUGUGAUGGUUUUCACAGGGGUGCGACUCAGUUGGGUGGCAUUUCGACUGGGUGCAAUGAUAAAUUAUGAAUUUUCUAAUUUGCUGCAUAAUGAAGUAACCCCUUCCAACCCAAUUAAAAAAAAAAAAAGCCAAGAUCGUGUCUUUUAAAUAAUAUUUCCCAGGUAUUUCAUCUCUCCGUUUUUGUUGUUGUUGUUGUUUUGCAAGCAUGUUUUUUUCACUUAAAAAGCAGAUGACUGCAUUUGCAGCCUUUCAGAAUGACUGUGCCUUUCCAUACAUCAAACAUGAUUCAUGAUUCAUAUAUCCCUAGACUAUAUUCAUGCUGUAAAUUGGCCACUCCUCAAGCCUCAGGGCAAUCACGGAUGAUAGCAAAGAAGUCCCAGUUUCUUCUCUGAUGUCCAAUUUGGGCUGUAGUGAUCUGUGUGUAUGAGUCUGUCUGUCUGUGUGUCGGGGAGCAGGGAUUUCAAAUGAGGGAAAUAAAUGAUGUGUGUUUGUUUUACAUACUUACUCAAGAGGCUGUACUGUUGUAAAUUAACUGCUAAACUACUGUGUGGGUUUCCUUCUAAUUUCUUAAAAUGGUUGUAGAAAUAAAUGUAUAUGUAUUUAUUACUUGAGCAUUGUAAAAAGGGAUCUGUGGAGACUUAAUUUGUGGGUGAGAGAUAAGGGAUUUUAGUUUGGUGUUGGUAAGUGUGUUCAGUACGUUUGGUAAUUUUAUGCUCAUAAUGCAGCACUUAGAAAAGCACAAGUAUUGCUGGGUAAAAUUUGUGGUGUUUCAUUAUACAACUGCAGACGGGCAAAACAGUUUAGAAAUACUGUAGGCCUGAUGCCAUCCCGACUUUAAAGAAUCUGAAAUAACCCAGCCAAUCUGUUUAGCAUGAUGCAAAUACUGUAAUUGUACAAUUAUGCUGCAUUUUUAAUAUAGAACAAUUCCUAUACAUUUUGUUGCCUCUUAAAAUUCUGCAUUAUUAAGAAACCAAGCCAUGAUUGUAUCGGAGGCUACACCACAACCCCACGGCAGUAGAUCAUGGAGGAUUUUGACAUUAAUACCCUACAAUCAAGCCGCGGAGAGCACACAGCACUAAUGCAAACCAACCACAAAGUGCAGAUUACAUAAGAUUAAUUCUGCACGUCCCCCUAAUGCAAGCACGGAGACUCUGUGCUACCAUCGCCCAGCCUGGCAGCACAGUACAUGAGGCCCCGACACUGCCUUGCACCGGUACUGCAGCAUUAUAUCAACAUUAUUAUAAUACAUAGCACAGAGUGUAUGCCUGGCACAACUGGGCAAUGCGGAGCACAGUGAUAUUAUAGAGUAAUCACACAGCUAACAUUCAUGCCUACAAUACAGAACAACCAGCAGUAAUGCUGAGCACAAUGUGGCGUUGCCAUAGCCUAUAUUAGAGCAGUUCAGCACAGCAAUGAAGUGUGGUGGCGUGUUGCAUCUUUAUACAUACAAGCGGAAGCUGCUGUACUCAAGUGGCAGCCGCACGGAUGCUAGCAUGGCUGGCCACAGCUGUACACACACCCCAGACCAGUGUGGGCACCUAGGACCAAUGCACCUCAGUUAAAUGCAGCUUGUGCUCUUAUGGAAGAAAAUGUGGACCCAAAGCAUGAAUCUGUACGAAACUGGAAUAAAUGUGUGACAUAUGCACUCAUUACUGCAUAAUUUGAUUGUGGUGAGUGAUGCUACAGCUCAGUCACAAAACAUUUUGCCUCUUACUUCAUAAAAGAAACAACUCAAUGCAAAUAUACCACAGUAACCUGUUAUUGCUUUGUAUUAAUUAUGAGAAAAUCUUCCUAUAUUAAAUUGAGUGGAGAAUUCAGCUUUGUAAAAGUAAAGACUUUCCAUAGGCACUGAUUUGAAGACAUUUUAAUAUUAACUGACCUAAAUGUUAACCAGUCUGCUCAGACUUUUUCAUUUCUACAUGCCUUUGCUUUGAAUUUUUCUAUUAUUAGCAAGUUUUUUAAUAUGUCAAAAUUGUCCAAGUUGGUGUUAUUUUAACAACAGCUAACUUGAAAUUUGCACCCCAAUUUA
This is a long non-coding RNA of Numida meleagris (helmeted guineafowl), 4450 nucleotides long. RefSeq lists it as uncharacterized. The transcript is spliced from 3 exons. The record is from RefSeq and is a predicted model, not a curated record. NCBI's taxonomy places the organism in Eukaryota, Metazoa, Chordata, Aves, Galliformes, Numididae.